AACUGCACCCAGCACAAGAAGAUAGUCUUGGGAAUACAGUCUGUCUUUGAAGUUGUCUUCUUCAUUCUUUGCUAUGACUUUAUUUUCCUCUUCUCAAAAGUGACAAUAUGGUAGUGCACUCCUUGGUAUGCCCUUGAUAGGUAAUGGGAAAGUCUGAAAGGUUUCCUUGAGAUCAGAGCUAAAAGGCUGUAUUAGAUCAAUAUAAUUUGCUUGCUUAAACAACAACCUUGAAUAUCCAACUCAUUCCAAUUCAACAUACAUCCAUUGGGUAUUUACCCUGAGGAGUUAACACAAGGCCCUGUACUAGAAAUUUCCAGUGUUAUUUAAUAAUUACAACAACCAUGAAAUGUAACAGCCCUACUUUAUAAAGGAAAACAAAACCAAAAACACCCAUACCCUCAGAGAGGGUAAUUUAUUUGCUGAAAGUCAAAGAAGCCACAUCAAACCCAAGCAUUCAAACUCCAAAAGUGCAGACUGACUGUGGAAUUCAAGGUCUCCCAAACACUGUCUCUCUACCUAUGCAUCUGCAAGGCCAGGUUGACAACUAUGCUUUUGUCCAACAUACAAGAGUUAGAAGACCACUUUUCCGUGUUUCUAUGUUACUUUCAAAAUUUCGAUUCAACCCUAGUUUCAAAUAAAAUUGUUUUGUUAACCUGUAGUUACUUUGACAUCCUACAAGCCUGGUCACGUGGAAGCAGAGCCCCAGAGUAGCUUGAGUUUCCAAUCUCCUCCUGCAAGGGAGUCAAAUAGGCAAAAGAAAAAUGCUAAGCCACCUUUUCAGAGUGUCUUUCUAAACCAUGAACACACAGCAACACAUGUCCAACAAAUGGAUAUUGUGCCA
RNAcentral lists this long non-coding RNA (841 nucleotides) under Marmota monax (woodchuck). The record is from RNAcentral. Lineage: Eukaryota; Metazoa; Chordata; Mammalia; Rodentia; Sciuridae.